UACGAAGGUCCCAAGCGUUGUUCGGAAUCACUGGGCGUAAAGGGAGCGUAGGCGGCGCGGUAAGUCGGGUGUGAAAUCCCGGGGCUCAACCCCGGAACUGCAUCCGAUACUGCCGUGCUUGAGGGUUGGAGAGGUAGCUGGAAUUAUCGGUGUAGCAGUGAAAUGCGUGGAUAUCGAUAGGAACACUCGUGGCGAAGGCGAGCUACUGGACAACAUCUGACGCCGAGGCUCGAAGGCUAGGGGAGCAAAAGGG
This 253-nucleotide ribosomal RNA is filed under the name uncultured bacterium. Its description in RNAcentral is "partial 16S ribosomal RNA". It matches the Rfam family "Bacterial small subunit ribosomal RNA", at positions 524 to 776 of the family's 1533-position model. The record is from RNAcentral.